This 553-nucleotide ribosomal RNA is filed under the name uncultured crenarchaeote. RNAcentral's name for it is "bacterial SSU rRNA". It matches the Rfam family "Archaeal small subunit ribosomal RNA", at positions 348 to 870 of the family's 1478-position model. The record is from RNAcentral. Lineage: Archaea; Thermoproteati; Thermoproteota.
CUCCGCAAUGCGCYGAAAGCGCGACGGGGUCAYCCCGAGUGCCGUCCGCUGAGGGCGGCUUUUGCCUGGUUUAACCAGCCGAGUGAAUAAGGGGAGGGCAAGUCUGGUGUCAGCCGCCGCGGUAAUACCAGCUCCUCGAGUGGUUGGGACGAUUAUUGGGUCUAAAGCGUCCGUAGCCGGCCGGAAAAGUUCUCCGUUAAAUCCAACGAUCCAAUCGUUGGGCUGCGGGGAAUACUCUUCGGCUUGGGGGCGAGGGAGGUCGGCGGUAGUCUCGGGGUAGGGGCGAAAUCCUAUAAUCCCGAGAGGACCACCAGUGGCGAAGGCGGCCGACUAAAGCGCGCCCGACGGUGAGGGACGAAAGCUGGGGGAGCGAACGGGAUUAGAUACCCCGGUAGUCCCAGCUGUAAACGAUGCAGGCUAGGUGUUGGGACGGCCACGAGCUGUCCCAGUGCCGCAGGGAAGCCAUUAAGCCUGCCACCUGGGGAGUACGGUCGCAAGGCUGAAUUCUCUUWGAGCAUUCGCUCGAGRGACAGUUGACUUAAAGGAAUUGGCG